CGCACAUUGCGCCCAUUAGUAUUCUAGUGGGCAUGCCUGUUCGAGCGUCAUUUCAACCCUUAAGCCUUAGUUGCUUAGUGUUGGGGGCUCGCCUAGCUAUAGACGCUGGCGACCCCUUAAAAAUAUCGGCGGAGUCGUGUCGACCCUAAGCGUAGUAAUUUAUUCCUCGCUUCAGGCUUGUAGGCGCUGGCGUCCGGCCGUUAAACCCCCUAAUUUUUAAUGGUUGACCUCGGAUCAGGUAGGAAUACCCGCUGAACUUAA
RNAcentral lists this unclassified non-coding RNA (261 nucleotides) under Cryptovalsa ampelina. Its description in RNAcentral is "partial contains 5.8S ribosomal RNA, internal transcribed spacer 2, and large subunit ribosomal RNA". The record is from RNAcentral. Lineage: Eukaryota; Fungi; Ascomycota; Sordariomycetes; Xylariales; Diatrypaceae.